CUGGGUUUUGCCAGCUUGGUGAUCUGGGGCCCCGGACCUGGGCAGCCUGGGUAGCUUUCUGACAGGCUUCCGGCCUUUCCUGCCUCUCUUGCCUGCCUGCAUCCCACAGUGGGGACUGAGGCCCUGAGGCCCCAAGGGGAAGUGGCGGGCGGAUGCUGGGGUUCAGACGAGGGAUGGCGGGGUGUAGGUGACAACUCCACCGGAACUUCUGCUAGGGCCUUUGCCCACAGGAUGUGACUUAGGGAGGGCUCAUGGGAAACGGCAGGCCCUGGCUUGAGAUGUAGUCGGAUAAUGGAGGCCACACAAGCCCACCGCAGAUCCCCGCCCACCGCACUACUGCUCAGACCCCAGCAAUGCCGUGGCUCCACCCCUAGGCCAGAUGGGCAGGGCCCCGAGAUGGGGAAGUGCUGGGGUUUGUGCCAGACUGACCUGGUUCAAAUACCAGUAUGGUCACUGACCAGCUGUUUGACCCAGGCCAAGUGAUGUCACCUCGGGAUCCUGAUGUGUACAAUGGAGGUGACAACAGUACCCAUGUGGUUGAGUGGCAACCGAGAUAAUUCCCAUAAAGUGCCAAGUGUAGGGCUUGGACCAUUUAUUUUCCGUCAAUAAGUUGUCAUUACUAAAAUUUUUAUGGUCUCACUCCUUAUCCUCCCCACCUCCAAUUUAGGGAACAGCCUCCUGCUUCUAAUAGUGUAAGCCAUGAAGCCGACCCUACGUCACUAACUGCCUAAACCCCUCUCUUGCUUCACGUUACUCUCAGGAGAGGGCUCCUUCCUCCUCAGCCUGACCUUCCAGCCCCUCCCUGGUAGUGCCCUUCCCCAGAACAAGACCUCUUGUGACAUCAAGGUCACCAAAGCCAUUCCUGCCUCCUCCUAGGAGGCUUUGAGGCUAAGCAGUGUGGGGUGAGAGCUGGGAGCCACCCCGAGGGCUUUUUUUUGAGACGGAAUCUCUCUCUGUCACCAGGCUGGAGUGCAGUGGCAAGACCUCGGCUCACUGCAACCUCCACCUCCUGGGUUCAAGCAAUUCUCCUGCCUCAGCCUCCCAAGUAGCUGGGACUACAGGCGCCCAAUACCACGCCUGGCUAAUUUUUGUCUUUUUAGUAGAGACGGGGUUUCAACAUAUUGGCCAGGCUGGCUCCAACUCCUGACCUUGUGAUCCGCCUGCCUUGGUCUCCCAAAGUGCUGGGAUUACAGGCGUGAGCCACCGCGCCCACUCCAAUGGCUUCUUGCAGGAAGAGAGGCGAAUAGCGUGAGUCAAGAGAAUCCCCUCACUCAGACACCCAGGUUCGGGUCCCAACUUUGUCGCCGUGUGACCUUGGGCAAAUGACCUCACCUCUGAGCCUCAACGUCUUCUUCUGCAAAAUGGGUUAGUGAUCCUGACUAUGGGGCUGUUGAUUCAGGAUUCGGCGGGAACGCCCAGCACUUCCUGAGUACACAAGAGUGCUGAGAAAAUGGUAGCUGUUUUUUGCGAUUACUGACUCGGGGCCCGACCAGCUCUGGCACGACUCAGCGGAGGUGGGAGUCCUGCGGGUCCCAUCCCUGCCUCCCGGAGAGCCAGACCCCAG
This 1564-nucleotide long non-coding RNA is filed under the name Homo sapiens (human). RNAcentral describes it as "non-protein coding lnc-CDK9-1:1". Lineage: Eukaryota; Metazoa; Chordata; Mammalia; Primates; Hominidae. The record is from RNAcentral.